GCCAGCAGCCUUAUCACUCUGCAACUCACAACUGGCAGCCCACUGAAGCUACGCAGGUGUGAGCCUGGUCAGUACCUGGAUGGGAGACCUCCUGGGAAAAACUAAGGUUGCUGCUGAAA
This is a ribosomal RNA of Lepisosteus oculatus (spotted gar), 119 nucleotides long. Lineage: Eukaryota; Metazoa; Chordata; Actinopteri; Semionotiformes; Lepisosteidae. The record is from Ensembl.